RNAcentral lists this ribosomal RNA (440 nucleotides) under uncultured bacterium. Its description in RNAcentral is "partial 16S ribosomal RNA". It matches the Rfam family "Bacterial small subunit ribosomal RNA", at positions 338 to 795 of the family's 1533-position model. The record is from RNAcentral.
CCUACGGGUGGCAGCAGUGGGGAAUAUUGCACAAUGGGGGAAACCCUGAUGCAGCGACGCCGCGUGAGUGAAGAAGUAUUUCGGUAUGUAAAGCUCUAUCAGCAGGGAAGAAAAUGUCUGUACCUGACUAAGAAGCCCCGGCUAACUACGUGCCAGCAGCCGCGGUAUUACGUAGGGGGCAAGCGUUCUCCGGAUAUACUGGGUGUAAAGGGAGCGUAAACGGUGAUGCAAGUCAGAAGUGAAAGCCCCGGGCUCAACUCCGGGUCUGCUUUUGAAACUGUGUGACUGGAGUGCAGGAGAGGUAAGCGGAAUUCCUGGUGUAGCGGUGAAAUGCGUAGAGAUCAGGAGGAACACCAGUGGCGAAGGCGGCUUACUGGACUGUAACUGACGUUGAGGCUCGAAAGCGUGGGGAGCAAACAGGAUUAGAUACCCGAGUAGUC